This is a long non-coding RNA of Sceloporus undulatus (fence lizard), 359 nucleotides long. RefSeq lists it as uncharacterized. The transcript has 2 exons. The record is from RefSeq and is a predicted model, not a curated record. NCBI's taxonomy places the organism in Eukaryota, Metazoa, Chordata, Lepidosauria, Squamata, Phrynosomatidae.
UGGCCCAUGCACAGGAUUUGCCUUCAAACCACGGAGCAGACGGGAGUGUUAUGAGGCCAAUGGAUCUUGUAAAUAUAUCAAAUGUUCCUAUCCCUUGGUGAAACAUGGAAGAUGUGGCAUUCGGAAGGUUUGCUGUGUCAGCAUCCGAGACAGGGAGAACUUGGAUGCCCACCAGAUCACCUGGGAUCCUUUGAAUUAAGAGAGAGGCUGCUGAACAUCAGUAGCUGCCAGAUCCUGUGGCAUUGUCUGCUUUUGAAAAUCUGCGCCUGGCAACUGCAUCCAUUCCGCCUCCAAAGCUUGCAUGUUAGCAAUAAAACCAAAGCCGUGCAGUACAGUAUAAAAAUAAAUAAAUAAAUAAA